CCCACGCUUUCUGGCGGCUUCCCGGUGCCCUGCUCACGCCCCGGCUGCCAGCUCCGAGCGUGAGCCCCAGGAGCGUCCGGCAGAAGGGCGUCCCCGCCAGCCCCACGCACAAUGCCCCCUCGACUGUUCCACCACUGCUCCUAAGCUUGGAGAGUGCUGGUCGCAGGCCAAGGGGAGGCAGCUGCCCUCCUCGGCCUCUGGCUGCCUUUUCACAGCCCUCAAGGGCGGAGGAAGAGAAGGAAAGUGCCUGACCACCUGGCGCUGGGCCCACCAUCCCUUGGGGCCCACCAUCCCUUGCCUCCCACAUCGCACACACAGGGUCCCGCGGGACGGGGAGCGGGGACCACCUGGACAUUGAACACCUCGCCGGGGACGCUCAGAGCCGGCUCCACCACGCCAGCGGAUCCAGGCUCGGCCGGGCCGGGAAGGGCGCGCCACUCGGUGGCCGACCGGAGCGUCGGGAGCACCGCAGGAGGAGUGCCGAGCCCCGGAGAGGCACACCCCGAGAGCCCAGCCGGCCCCGCCCGGGAACCGGGAUGGGCUAAAAAGGAAAACGGCCUGGUGGGAUGGCUCGCGCCUGUAAUCCCUGCACUUUGGGAGGCCCAGCAUGACAACUGGCAAGAUUCCAAGAGGUGGAAUGGGGGCUCCUUCAGCUUGUGUCCCUGAGAGUGGUGAAGCAAUGGAACCUCCAAUGGACAUAUGAGAAGGUGCUCCUGUUAAUGGCUUAAACAAAUUAUGGAUUUAUUCUCCCUCAUAAAAGAAGUCUGGAAGUUGUCAAUCAAGGGUUGAUAACAGUGUUGAUGACUCACUCAGCUAUCAGCCAAGGAGCUUCCUGCCUCUACUGUAAAUGAAGCCUGAAAUAUCCAAGCUACAUUAUCGCUAACAUGCCUAUGGUGGGACAUCUGUGGUUUUCUCCAUCUGGUUUCUAACGCCUACUGAUACAGAAAGGCUAAAUUCCACCCUCAAGCCUGGACCCUCAGCCUUAAGUGAAAACAGCUGACCCUGAUACAGAACGGCUGGGCUCCUGUCUAAAUCCACCUUCAAGUCUGGACCCUCAGCCCUAAGCGAAAACAGCUGACCCUGUUGCCUUUGUGGCCCACCCCACCUCCUAUCUUGUGCUUGCCUUUUUGCCCCACCCAAUCCCCUAUCCUUUGCCCAUAAAAAGACUUCAGCUGGUGGAGCAAAAAGAGGUAGCUGAUGCAAGUGUUUGGGGAUGCAGGCUGCUGAACAUCAGGGUUGCAUGCAGCUGAGCAUCCGAGACUAAGGAUAGACUCGGCCAACUUCACAUGGUGCAGCUUCAGGAAAAGAUCACUUUCUUCCCAUACCACCCCUUUACCAAUUCCCCAUCCCACUGAUAGCCACUUUUAUUGCCCAAUAAACUCCUCCGCAUACA
Long non-coding RNA from Callithrix jacchus (white-tufted-ear marmoset), 1393 nucleotides. RefSeq lists it as uncharacterized. NCBI's taxonomy places the organism in Eukaryota, Metazoa, Chordata, Mammalia, Primates, Cebidae. The record is from RefSeq and is a predicted model, not a curated record.